GUAUAAACUCUACCUUUAUAUUAUUUGUGGGUGGUGGUGUUGGUUUUGGGUUGAGGGGGUGGUGACAAAAGCAAGCAGGUGGUGCCUGUUGAAGCUGAUGGAGCACAGCUGGGAUGAUUGCUUCCCAGCACUCCUCGGUGCCUCAGUGAGGGCUUGCUCUGCAGAUGGUAGAGGAUUUUGGGAGCUUGUUGCUUUUAGCUGUUGGAGGAGGCAAUAACAUUGAAUGCUAACUUUCAUUGAGAACAUAGAUUCUACAGCAAGGAAGUAACAGUAAGUGUUUAUGUAUGUGUUAUGACUCUUUUUUAUAAAGUUUUCUUUUUAGUAGGAGUCUUUGUGAUGUUUAAUCUAAGUAUAUUCUAGAAAGG
Molecule: long non-coding RNA, 365 nt
Filed under: Anser brachyrhynchus (Pink-footed goose)
Lineage: Eukaryota; Metazoa; Chordata; Aves; Anseriformes; Anatidae
Description: lncRNA (ENSABRG00000000998.1)
Source: RNAcentral